AAAUAGUGGUAAGUGUGAAUGUGCUUUGUUUGGUGAUUACGUUGACGAGUUGAACAAGAAAAUGGGAAAAUCUUGCAAAAGUUAAAUUUUUUAAAGGUAAUGUAUUAUUUUUUGAAGAAGCUAAACUAACCCACCUAAAUUGACACCAGAGUGAAUCGAAUCUGAGACCUUAAGGAGAAGCACACUCUCAGGUCCCAAGCCAAUACCCACCUAAAUUUUUUAGAGGUAAUGUAUUAUUAUAUUUGAAAUAGUAACUUCUCAAAUUUUCCACGGAUUGAAUUAGUUGUGUCCAGACAAAGCAUCCAUCCAAAAUGUCAUUAACACUACAAGGAUAUUGAUUAAUCCAGAUAUACCUGGGGUUGAAGCAUUCAAGAACAGGUUUGUUUCAUUUCUAAUAAAUUAUUGAUGUUGAGUGAUCAUGUAGCUAUUUUUCCGUCUUUGAUAAAGAUGUUCAGGAUUUGGUUGUGGAGACUUGUCCUCUUUUGUUAUCAAUGGGAGAGAGAUCUUCCUUAUAUCCAGAUGAGAUGGAGGGCUUUUACGGUGAUGCAUAUCUUUAUAAAGUUGAAAAAGGGGAUCCUAUUGAUUUCGAGAAUUUACUUGCAUUUAAAGUUAUAUCUAUUUACCUGCAUUUGAUAAAUUCUCUUUUAGCCUCUACCCCUAUUAUCUACUUGUCAUUCAUGAAGAUGUCGGUGAAAGUAUGGAAGAAAUUAGUAUCAAUACAAAGAAAUUUUCUUGGGUAAAGUGGAUCGAUAUCUGUCUUUCAAAGGAAAGAGGUGGCUUAGGGGUUAGAAACCUAAGAUUGGUUAAUAUCUCUCUAUUAGCAAAAUGGCGGUGGCGGCCGAAUGAUCUCUGGGCUCGAACUCUAUUAGCAAAAUACGGAGAUAUUG
This is an RNA transcript of Trifolium pratense (red clover), 887 nucleotides long. RefSeq lists it as uncharacterized. NCBI's taxonomy places the organism in Eukaryota, Viridiplantae, Streptophyta, Magnoliopsida, Fabales, Fabaceae. The record is from RefSeq and is a predicted model, not a curated record. The transcript has 2 exons.